Sinocyclocheilus anshuiensis is the source of this 87-nucleotide long non-coding RNA. RefSeq lists it as uncharacterized. The transcript is spliced from 5 exons. NCBI's taxonomy places the organism in Eukaryota, Metazoa, Chordata, Actinopteri, Cypriniformes, Cyprinidae. The record is from RefSeq and is a predicted model, not a curated record.
AUGCUAGAUAUGGGAGUAAUAGAGGAAUCCAACAGUGAUUGGGCGAGCCCGAUAGUUGUACCUUUACUUUACUGUUACUUUUAGUCA